AACAAUGCAUCCUCUGAGGUCUGGCGCC
RNAcentral lists this non-coding RNA (28 nucleotides) under Rattus norvegicus (Norway rat). Lineage: Eukaryota; Metazoa; Chordata; Mammalia; Rodentia; Muridae. The record is from RNAcentral.